GAGUCUGAGUGAAGGGAGAGAAGGUUGGCACUUCCCUUGAUAAGAAUGGAAGAGGUCAGGGAUCCCUGGGUGGCGCAGCGGUUU
This 84-nucleotide non-coding RNA is filed under the name Canis lupus familiaris (dog). The record is from RNAcentral. Lineage: Eukaryota; Metazoa; Chordata; Mammalia; Carnivora; Canidae. RNAcentral also lists the same sequence under 1 other name.